RNAcentral lists this ribosomal RNA (244 nucleotides) under Clostridioides difficile. RNAcentral describes it as "partial 23S ribosomal RNA". It matches the Rfam family "Bacterial large subunit ribosomal RNA", at positions 200 to 446 of the family's 2925-position model. The record is from RNAcentral. Lineage: Bacteria; Bacillati; Bacillota; Clostridia; Peptostreptococcales; Peptostreptococcaceae.
AUCUAAGUACCUGAAGGAAGAGAAAGAAAUUCGAUUCCGUAAGUAGCGGCGAGCGAACGCGGAUUAGCCCAAACCAAUAAAGUUUUCUUUAUUGGGGUUGCGGACAUAUCAUAACGGAGAGGUAUCGUAAUUGAAGAGGUUUGGAAAGACCCACCACAGAAGGUAAUAGUCCUGUAUGUUAAACGAGAAGACUUUAGAUAUGAUCCAGAGUACCACGGGACACGUGAAACCCUGUGGGAAGCAG